This is a long non-coding RNA of Epinephelus fuscoguttatus (brown-marbled grouper), 258 nucleotides long. RefSeq lists it as uncharacterized. The transcript is spliced from 4 exons. The record is from RefSeq and is a predicted model, not a curated record. NCBI's taxonomy places the organism in Eukaryota, Metazoa, Chordata, Actinopteri, Perciformes, Serranidae.
GUGAGUUCCUGGAUCCUGGGUGCACGUGUCGUGGUGGUGAGAGGCACUGGGUGAGUCAAUAAUUUGCGGUGAAGCCUUCUACUCUGAAGCACCAUGGAUUUGUAAGCGCACAAUUUCCUGUCCUCUGACAAAAGUCUGUUAUCUGACUUGGUUCCACUCCCCUCAAACACAUCCGUUUGCCCCUGUACUUGAUCAAAGCAUUUUUGCCUGGCAGAGUUUCUCCUAGGGGAGAGAAGAGCAGCCAAGUGAGACUAACAG